UGGUGGAGUGAUUUGUCUGCUUAAUUGCGAUAACGAACGAGACCUUAACCUGCUAAAUAGCCAGGCCCGCUUUGGCGGGUCGCCGGCUCCUUAGAGGGACUAUCGGCUCAAGCCGAUGGAAGUUUGAGGCAAUAACA
RNAcentral lists this ribosomal RNA (137 nucleotides) under uncultured eukaryote. Its description in RNAcentral is "partial 18S ribosomal RNA". It matches the Rfam family "Eukaryotic small subunit ribosomal RNA", at positions 1299 to 1458 of the family's 1831-position model. The record is from RNAcentral.